GACGAACGCUGGCGGCGUGCUUAACACAUGCAAGUGGAGCGACUAAGCGGGCUUCGGCCCGCGGCAAAGCCGCGAACGGGUGAGUAACACGUGGGUAACCUGCCCUGAUGACCGGGACAACCCGAGGAAACUCGGGCUAAUACCGGAUGUGGUCCAUACACAUGAGUGUUUGGACUAAAGUUAGCUUCGGCCUCCGCAUCAGGAUGGGCCCGCGGCGCAUUAGCUUGUUGGUGAGGUAAUGGCUUACCAAGGCGACGAUGCGUAGCUGGUCUGAGAGGACGAUCAGCCACACUGGGACUGAGACACGGCCCAGACUCCUACGGGAGGCAGCAGUGGGGAAUCUUGCGCAAUGCGCGAAAGCGUGACGCAGCAACGCCGCGUGAGGGAAGACGGCUUUCGGGUUGUAAACCUCUUUCAGGAGGGACGAAGCCUGGCUGGUGAAUAGCCUGUCCAGGUGACGGUACCUCCACAAGAAGCCCCGGCUAACUACGUGCCAGCCGCCGCAGUAA
RNAcentral lists this ribosomal RNA (509 nucleotides) under uncultured bacterium. RNAcentral describes it as "partial 16S ribosomal RNA". It matches the Rfam family "Bacterial small subunit ribosomal RNA", at positions 28 to 523 of the family's 1533-position model. The record is from RNAcentral.